RNAcentral lists this ribosomal RNA (398 nucleotides) under uncultured bacterium. Its description in RNAcentral is "partial 16S ribosomal RNA". It matches the Rfam family "Bacterial small subunit ribosomal RNA", at positions 523 to 918 of the family's 1533-position model. The record is from RNAcentral.
AUACGUAGGGAGCGAGCGUUGUCCGGAAUUACUGGGCGUAAAGAGCUCGUAGGUGGUUUGUCGCGUCGUCUGUGAAAUUCCGGGGCUUAACUCCGGGCGUGCAGGCGAUACGGGCAUAACUUGAGUACUGUAGGGGAGACUGGAAUUCCUGGUGUAGCGGUGAAAUGCGCAGAUAUCAGGAGGAACACCGGUGGCGAAGGCGGGUUUCUGGGCAGUAACUGACGCUGAGGAGCGAAAGCAUGGGUAGCGAACAGGAUUAGAUACCCUGGUAGUCCAUGCCGUAAACGGUGGGCGCUAGGUGUAGGGGUCUUCCACGACUUCUGUGCCGUAGCUAACGCAUUAAGCGCCCCGCCUGGGGAGUACGGCCGCAAGGCUAAAACUCAAAUGAAUUGACGGGG